CCCACCCUGUGUCGUUAUACCUUCGUUGCUUUGGCGGGCCGCGGGGCCCCGGCCCCGCCCCUGGCUCCGGCUAGGGCGCGCCCGCCAGAGGACCUCAAAACCUGAAUGUUAGUGUCGUCUGAGUACUAUAUAAUAGUUAAAACUUUCAACAACGGAUCUCUUGGUUCUGGCAUCGAUGAAGAACGCAGCGAAAUGCGAUAAGUAAUGUGAAUUGCAGAAUUCAGUGAAUCAUCGAAUCUUUGAACGCACAUUGCGCCCCUUGGUAUUCCGGGGGGCAUGCCUGUUCGAGCGUCAUUACAACCCUCAAGCUCUGCUUGGUCUUGGGCGUCACCGGUCCCGGUGUGCCUUAAAAUCAGUGGCGGCGCCAUCUGGCUCUAAGCGUAGUACAUACUCUCGCUACAGACGUCCGGUGGAUGCUGGCCAGCAACCCCCAACUUAUCAAGGUUGACCUCGGAUCAGGUAGGGAUACCCGCUGAACUUAAGCAUAUCAAUAA
This 494-nucleotide ribosomal RNA is filed under the name Pezicula ericae. Its description in RNAcentral is "eukaryotic LSU rRNA". The stretch from base 141 to 294 matches the Rfam family "5.8S ribosomal RNA". Lineage: Eukaryota; Fungi; Ascomycota; Leotiomycetes; Helotiales; Dermateaceae. The record is from RNAcentral.